GCAGAAGCAAUGGAUUUGAGUGUCCACACACGUAAUUGAAGGUUGCAAAGAAGGAUUGGACACAGGGAUGCACAGUUUGCAGUUGUGCUGGAGGUAAUCUCAUAGUAUAUCACAAGGUAAUUUUAUACAACUAAAUAUUGGUAUGCAAAAAGACAUAGGGAGGCCUAAAUCCUUUAUAUACAUCUAUUGUCAUAGGCUGCAUUUUCUUAUUUGUGUGGCCUUACUGUAUUUCUACAAGAAUUUCUGUGCUAAGCUAUAAAACAUCAUCUGAAAACCAUCCGAGAGUGUGGGGAACUGAAGGCCCUGCUUGGUUACAUACUUAUUGCCCAAAAGCUGUUCAUCAUGAUGAGAUACUUCUAUCAAUGAUGCAGCAGGUGCUCAUGAAGCUUCCCUUUGUCCAUGAUCUGAACUUUGUUUAUGCUAUUAUGACUUAGAAAACAAAAGGGGUUAAGCUGCCAAUGAUAUAUAUAACACCGGAAGUGUGUAGAUUUGUUUAUAUCUUAACUAAUUGAGCUAUACCGACAUAUUUUAAUAGAUUCUUUAUACUAUUGUUGUUCUCACAGCAGGUCUGUUUAUAAGAACAACAGAGAAAUUGUGUU
Non-coding RNA from Cucurbita pepo subsp. pepo (vegetable marrow), 599 nucleotides. NCBI's taxonomy places the organism in Eukaryota, Viridiplantae, Streptophyta, Magnoliopsida, Cucurbitales, Cucurbitaceae. The record is from RefSeq and is a predicted model, not a curated record.